ACAGUGUAUGGUGGGUAGUUUGACUGGGGCGGUCUCCUACCCAAAGAGUAACGGAGGAGCACGAAGGUGCGCUAAUCAUGGUCGGAAAUCAUGAGGUUAGUGUAAAGGCAAAAGCGCGCUUGACUGCGAGACAAACAAGUCGAGCAGGUACGAAAGUAGGUCUUAGUGAUCCGGUGGUUCUGUAUGGAAGGGCCAUCGCUCAACGGAUAAAAGGUACUCCGCGGAUAACAGGCUGAUACCGCCCAAGAGUUCAUAUCGACGGCGGUGUUUUGGCACCUCGAUGUCGGCUCAUCACAUCCUGGGGCUGAAGCCGGUCCCAAGGGUAUGGCUGUUCGCCAUUUAAAGUGGUACGCGAGCUGGGUUUAGAACGUCGUGAGACAGUUCGGUCCCUAUCUGCCGUGGGCGUUGGAAAUUUGAGAAGAGUUGCUCCUAGUACGAGAGGACCGGAGUGAACGAACCCCUGGUGUUCGGGUUGUGUCGCCAGACGCAUUGCCCGGUAGCUAUGUUCGGACGGGAU
This 517-nucleotide ribosomal RNA is filed under the name uncultured bacterium. Its description in RNAcentral is "bacterial LSU rRNA". It matches the Rfam family "Bacterial large subunit ribosomal RNA", at positions 2251 to 2765 of the family's 2925-position model. The record is from RNAcentral.